This 519-nucleotide ribosomal RNA is filed under the name uncultured bacterium. RNAcentral's name for it is "partial 16S ribosomal RNA". It matches the Rfam family "Bacterial small subunit ribosomal RNA", at positions 355 to 861 of the family's 1533-position model. The record is from RNAcentral.
UGGGGAAUUUUGGACAAUGGGCGAAAGCCUGAUCCAGCAAUGCCGCGUGUGUGAAGAAGGCCUUCGGGUUGUAAAGCACUUUUGUCCGGAAAGAAAUCCUUGGCUCUAAUACAGUCGGGGGAUGACGGUACCGGAAGAAUAAGCACCGGCUAACUACGUGCCAGCAGCCGCGGUAAUACGUAGGGUGCAAGCGUUAAUCGGAAUUACUGGGCGUAAAGCGUGCGCAGGCGGUUUGCUAAGACCGAUGUGAAAUCCCCGGGCUCAACCUGGGAACUGCAUUGGUGACUGGCAGGCUAGAGUAUGGCAGAGGGGGGUAGAAUUCCACGUGUAGCAGUGAAAUGCGUAGAGAUGUGGAGGAAUACCGAUGGCGAAGGCAGCCCCCUGGGCCAAAUACUGACGCUCAUGCACGAAAAGCGUGGGGGAGCAAAACAGGAUUAGAUACCCUGGUAGUCCACGCCCUAAAACGAUGUCAACUAGUUGUUGGGGGAUUCAUUUCCUUAGUAACGUAGCUAACGCGUG